Sceloporus undulatus (fence lizard) is the source of this 131-nucleotide small nucleolar RNA. NCBI's taxonomy places the organism in Eukaryota, Metazoa, Chordata, Lepidosauria, Squamata, Phrynosomatidae. The record is from RefSeq and is a predicted model, not a curated record.
AUGCACAUGACAUUGACCUGCUUCCUUUGUAUUGGUAAGCAGUGUUAUUUCUGAUGUGCUAAAGUAAUGGCUGAAGGCUAAUUAGCAGCUUCACUUCUUUUAGUGAUCCUGCCAGUCUCCUUCAUACAAAA